Molecule: long non-coding RNA, 3517 nt
Organism: Cercocebus atys (sooty mangabey)
Lineage: Eukaryota; Metazoa; Chordata; Mammalia; Primates; Cercopithecidae
Exons: 2
Source: RefSeq, a predicted model, not a curated record
CGAGAUCGUGCCACUGCCCUCCAGCCUGGGCAACAGAAUGAGACCCUGUCUCAAAAAAUAAUAAUAAUAAUAAAAAGGAUGUUAAAUAUAAUCUGGCUCCUCCGUUUUCUGCCAGUUCUUGAGUCUUUUCAAUGUUCCCACUAUUUGGCCUUUCCAGGCCCCACCUAAACACCCUCAGAGAUGAGGUAUGCACCCAUGACCUAUGUAGCUUAUUCUUUAUGGGCAGUGCUCAUUAUUAAAACAUUCUUCCUGAACGUGAGAUCCACUCUGUCCUCUGACAGCUCUGCUCACUAGAGAGGCCACACAGGCUGGUCGCCCUCCCAAGUUAGCCUGUCAUACCACCCCUUGGUCUUUCCUAGGCUGAGCACCCCAUUUUUCUUCAGCUGUUUCUCAUAACACGAUCUCAAGCCUCUUCUGAACCCCAGUCCUUCCUGAGUCCCCGUAUGAGCAUUUGUCUCUGUGGGCACAACUUCGAGUGUCCUUUAUGAGGAAAUGCGCAUCUCUGAUUGGUGAACUUCCAUCCCUCAGAGAGAAAUAGAAGCACAAAUUUGAAACAAGCUCUCUGUUCCUUUAUGUCUUGGAAACUUUUUAUUUAUCCAUCCAAGCUUUUUUUUUUUUUGAAGCCUUCAAGAGCAGGCAACCAUUUACGAACCUGUUCAUGGAACUUAUUCCACGAACCCAGAAAAUUAAAUAUACCUGAAAUGUAGCACAAAAUAAGUAAAUGAUAAAAGUUCCCUCAAACCUUCCAUCAAGUGGUUUAAAAACUGUCAUUGAUUUUAUGUCUGGAAUCGAAGUUGUUUUGGUGCGUUCAUGCACACACACACAAAUAUACACUAAUCCUAAAAAUGAGAUGGAAAUGAGCUACAAGAAAACUCAAAAGUGCCAUAAUUAUGACUAUCAAAAAUAGUGUUACAGCUCUAGAGUCGUGUUGUGUCCUAUUUGUAUCAAAAUCAUAUUUGGGAGGUCCUUUAUAGGUGGGAGGUGAGUACGUCAAGAGGAAGAGGUUGCUUGAUUCUUGGUCCUUUAGAUUCUUAAGACUCUUUGGCCAGAGUUUUGGAAAAGGGAUUAUGUCAACAAGUAAAAUUACGGUUUCAGGACUGCCUUAGAAACUUUUUCAAAAGAAGAAAGGAAACAGUUCUUUUUAGCCUUUGCUUUUUGGUACCUGUAGGGGGAGCCCUUGAUAGCAGAUAUUUUUCCCCCGUUCACUGGCUUGGAGGAAAACGCCAGGAGUUCAAGCUGGUUAGGUAAUUUUGGCAUUUGGCCCACCUGCCCCAGCUUUGAAGAACAGUAACUUGUACAAGCAGUGCUGACUGAUGCUUGUCAGUCACAUGUGAGCAGAGAUUAGAAAGACGAGUGGCACUUAUUAAAUUUUUCUUAAAUUGUAAGCUUGGCUUCAUGGGUGGGAUUGAUUAUUCCAGCAGUGGAUCUGUGCACAACCAGGUGACUCAUUAGCUAAGCCCAUGAACACGCAUGGACAAGGCAUUGACUUUGUUUCUGUGUUUGUGACUUUUUUUCUUGGAGAAAAGAAAAUGAAGUUGACGUGAAUCAACCUCUUAUUGGUAGGGUUUUUUAAAUGCUGCGGUCCCAGAGAAAGCAGGAGAAGAUUCAAUAAAAAUGAAAGUCUGCAUUACUGAACUUUUAUCAUGUCCUUGGAACUGGACUAUGCGCUUUUCAUACAUUGGGUGGAGGUUAAGUAACAUGCUCAAGCUGGUCACCUGCAUGGCUAGGAUUCUAACCCACUAGCCUGGCCUUACCGCCUGCCUUAGUACAAGAGCAGAUGCUUAGCAAAUCAUGCUGGUUUAUUGGAAGGUCAGCAGUUCAUAUGAUUCAGCACAGGACUCUUUGGCAGAGUGAAGUCCAUGGAAAUCCAACCACUCAUGAAGAAUGCACAGAGGAAUAAGCGCAGAAACGCCCAUUCCCACAGGAUCUGCAUGGAACCUCCUGGGAAGCAGGAUGGGAAAUGUGAAGAGCACUGGGCUUGGCCUCAGAAACUUCAAGCACUUUCUGCCCUGCCAUGGGCUAGCUUGUGACCUCAGGCAAGUCGCUGCACCCUGCCUCCAGCUCUGUGACUUUACAGAGUUGUUGCAAAGACAAUGCUUGGGAAAGUGUCUUCUGAACUCUUCAAUGACCUGUAAACGUAGGUUCCAGCAGGUGCAAUUCACAGAAGGUUCAAGGUUUAGGCCAGCGCAUGUGGCUGUGAACACCAGAUGGAAGAAGAGCACUUUCAAUGCCCGCAGUGCAGAAACUCAGUGAUAUGCUCUGUUUUUCAGUGGAGGGGGGCACUUGGCAUAUGAACUCACACCGCAAGAAUCACAUUUGAGUUAAUGUGUGUUUAUGUUGUGUUGACAAAAAGGGUAGGAAGCCAAGCAUGCUGGUGUGUGCCUGUAGUCCCAGCUACUCAGGAGGCUGAGGCAGGAGGAUUGCUUGAGGCCAGGAGUUCAAGGCUGCAGUGAGCUAUGAUCAUGCUACUGUCUUGCAGUCUGGGCAACAGAGCAAGACCCCAUAUCUAAAAAAAUAAAUAAAAAUUUAAAAAGUAGGAUUAGAUGUAAUACAAUGUUAUCUUCUGCCUCAUAGAUAGCUUGAAAAUUCUGAGAUUUUUCACUAAUAUAUCUAACUCUUCAUCCAAUUGAAGAUAUAAAAAACAUUUUUUAAUUCUGUGUUAACUUUUGUUUUUAAAAGUUAUCCCAUGCUGAACUCUGAAAAACUAUAUAAUUCUUCAUAUUAGUAUAGACUUUACAAUGCAAUUUAAAAUAUAUUAUCUUGUUUGGUAUCUCAGUAAUAUUAUGGAUUAAUUGUGCUUCUGGGAGCUAAGCUGCGGCCCUAACCACCAUUUAGAAAAGGGGUCAGCAGAUGAUAGUCCAAAGGCCAAAUCUGGCCCACAGCCUGUUUUGGCACUACCUGAGAGCUAAGAUUGGUCUUUACAUUUUUAAAGGAUCGUAAGCAAAACAAAACAAAAACAAAAAACCCAGAGAAGAAGACAUGACAGAGACUGGUGGGCAAAACUGAACAUACAAUCUGGCCCUUUACAGAAAAACCCCUGAUCCCACUCCUCGAUUUAGAACAUUAUUUUUCUGAAACUCAUUUUGAGUUCCAGAAAGGUUAUUUACAGAAAGGUUAUAUUGAAUUCCAGAAAGGUUAUUACAGAAAGGUUACAUUUUUGGGAUAUCACAUGCUUCUAAGUCAGAGACUGUUUAUUUUUAAAGGAUUUAUUUAUGUAGCCAUGUGAGAAAACAUAUGAAUAGGAUAUAAAUGGCAAGUAUGUAUUAUCCCAUUCAUAUAUGUAAAAUGAGGAGGUUACACAAACCCAUGUUUGCACAUCUGUGGAAAAUUUCUAGAAGGAUAAACAAAAAUAUGCUAACAAUGGUUAAGCAUACCUUGGGGCGGAUUCUCGGGACUCACUGCAGAAGGGGACUUUUUGCUUUAUUCUGUUCAGUACAUUAUGAAUUUUCUGUCUAAUCACAAACAUGCAUUAUUUUUAUAUGUGGAACAUGAGGAAAGUAAAAUGUCUAGAACUCAA